UUGUAAGUGUCUAAGGGCGCACGGUGGAUGCC
RNAcentral lists this ribosomal RNA (32 nucleotides) under Mycobacterium gordonae. Its description in RNAcentral is "partial 23S ribosomal RNA". The record is from RNAcentral. Lineage: Bacteria; Bacillati; Actinomycetota; Actinomycetes; Mycobacteriales; Mycobacteriaceae.